Erpetoichthys calabaricus (reedfish) is the source of this 308-nucleotide long non-coding RNA. RefSeq lists it as uncharacterized. NCBI's taxonomy places the organism in Eukaryota, Metazoa, Chordata, Cladistia, Polypteriformes, Polypteridae. The record is from RefSeq and is a predicted model, not a curated record. The transcript is spliced from 3 exons.
AUAUUCACUUCUUGAAAAAAUGAAGACUUUUCAAUUUUACAACAACUUGAAAGAAUAUCUUUUACGGGAAGAAUUUAGCAACAAUUUAACGGUCAGAGAGCGAAGUGAAAUACGACGUGUGUCCGUGAAUUUUAUGAUUAAAGUCCAUCAUCCGUGCCCUGGCUGCUCUACAGGGUGUAUCAGGACAGGAGGCAGAAGACUUAUUUCUUGGUGGCCCAGAAUACAGUAUCAGUGAAGUGGAAGAAUUUAACCGAAAGAUAGGGCAGCAAUUAAAGGAGGAGGGAAUGCUGUGAUAUCUGUUAGAAUAG